Molecule: ribosomal RNA, 141 nt
Filed under: uncultured eukaryote
Lineage: Eukaryota
Description: partial 18S ribosomal RNA
Rfam family: Eukaryotic small subunit ribosomal RNA
Source: RNAcentral
UGGUGGAGUGAUUUGUCUGGUUAAUUCCGUUAACGAACGAGACCUCGACCUGCUAAAUAGUGCGGCUCACGCUUCGGCUUGGGUGCGCGCUUCUUAGAGGGACUAUCGGUUUCUAGCCGAUGGAAGUUCGAGGCAAUAACA